Molecule: long non-coding RNA, 299 nt
Filed under: Elaeis guineensis (African oil palm)
Lineage: Eukaryota; Viridiplantae; Streptophyta; Magnoliopsida; Arecales; Arecaceae
Description: long non-coding RNA (EGUI_LNC029249)
Source: RNAcentral
GGCGAGGUUAUCGGUGGCACCGGCGGCGACGGUGACGACGGCGGCAAUGGUGGCGAUAGGUGUGAUCACGUAGCAUGGGUGAUGAGGGCGUGGAUCUGGUUGGUGGCACCAUGGUUUAUCUUUGGCGUGUUGGUCGCGUGGGUAGUGAGGUCUCGGUUUCCAGUGUAGGCUUUUCCCUGUCUGCACCGGCCUCCCCCUUAGUUCCCUCUCUCUUAUAUCUGUAGUGUAGAGCUUAGAGAAUGAUUGAUGCAUAUAUGACGCAUUGUUCUUGCUCUUGUUUUGCCUUUCUUAGUUGAAUG